RNAcentral lists this ribosomal RNA (490 nucleotides) under uncultured bacterium. Its description in RNAcentral is "partial 16S ribosomal RNA". It matches the Rfam family "Bacterial small subunit ribosomal RNA", at positions 29 to 507 of the family's 1533-position model. The record is from RNAcentral.
AUUGAACGCUGGCGGCAUGCCUUACACAUGCAAGUCGAACGGCAUCGCGGGAACGCUUGCUUUCCUGGCGGCGAGUGGCGAACGGGUGAGUAACACAUCGGAACGUACCGGCUAGUGGGGGAUAACCCGUUGAAAGACGGGCUAAUACCGCAUACGCUCUUCGGAGGAAAGCAGGGGACCUUUGGGCCUUGCGCUAGCCGAGCGGCCGAUGUCCGAUUAGCUAGUUGGUGGGGUAAAGGCCUACCAAGGCGACGAUCGGUAGCGGGUCUGAGAGGACGAUCCGCCACACUGGGACUGAGACACGGCCCAGACUCCUACGGGAGGCAGCAGUGGGGAAUCUUGGACAAUGGGGGCAACCCUGAUCCAGCAAUGCCGCGUGGGUGAAGAAGGCCUUCGGGUUGUAAAGCCCUUUCGGCAGGGAAGAAAUCGGCGGGGCGAAUAACCCUGCUGGAUGACGGUACCUGCAGAAGAAGCACCGGCUAACUACGUG